This 71-nucleotide transfer RNA is filed under the name Marmota monax (woodchuck). It matches the Rfam family "tRNA". From Rfam's summary of the family: Transfer RNA (tRNA) molecules are approximately 80 nucleotides in length. Their secondary structure includes four short double-helical elements and three loops (D, anti-codon, and T loops). Further hydrogen bonds mediate the characteristic L-shaped molecular structure. tRNAs have two regions of fundamental functional importance: the anti-codon, which is responsible for specific mRNA codon recognition, and the 3' end, to which the tRNAs corresponding amino acid is attached (by aminoacyl-tRNA synthetases). tRNAs cope with the degeneracy of the genetic code in two manners: having more than one tRNA (with a specific anti-codon) for a particular amino acid; and 'wobble' base-pairing, i.e. permitting non-standard base-pairing at the 3rd anti-codon position. The record is from Rfam by way of RNAcentral. Lineage: Eukaryota; Metazoa; Chordata; Mammalia; Rodentia; Sciuridae.
GUGGCUGUGGCUCAAUGGUAGAGUUCUUGCCUUGAAUGGAUGAGACACUGGGUUGGAUCCUCAGCACCACA